UAAGGGAAAUCUUCUUCUCCACGCGGUAGAAUGAGAACGUGUCCCCCUCCACAUUUUCCCCUCCGCUACUCCUCCACGUUGCAGCUAGUCUUCUCUUCCAUCGCCACUUCUCAAGUUUGCCCUGCAACGCGUGGAAGCCAUGCCCAAAGCUUCAGAGAAAUACAGCCUUGCCCAACUCUGCCUUCUCCUUCCUAUUUAAACCCAAACGAAACCUCCUUCUCCACACAUCUUCUUCAGAAGCAAGCAGACGUAAGAAAUCAAAGAACCCACCAGCAUGUCAACCACAUGGAAGGACGAAAGUGUGGGCUAUCGGCCAGGUGACCUUCACCUAGGAAAGUUCCCAACCUGGUACAGCUCUCUCCUGUGACGACAAGAUGAGCCCAUAGUCGUCCAUUGGGAGGAGCCAAACGUGCGCCGCUCAUGGUUAAAAGUGGAAUUGGUCCAAGGGAGGUUAAAACUUACACGCUAUAUAAAUAAUACAUGCAUUUGAUCUAAUUAUAUUUUAUUUUACUGUUUAUUUAUUUGUAGAAGUAUUUGAACUCUAUUUAGAAUUCCUGAAAAGAAAAUUACACUUUUA
This is a long non-coding RNA of Alnus glutinosa, 577 nucleotides long. RefSeq lists it as uncharacterized. NCBI's taxonomy places the organism in Eukaryota, Viridiplantae, Streptophyta, Magnoliopsida, Fagales, Betulaceae. The record is from RefSeq and is a predicted model, not a curated record. The transcript is spliced from 2 exons.